AUGCCUAAUACAUGCAAGUCGAAUGGAAGAGCUUGCUUUCCAUGGCGAACGGGUGAGUAACACGUAGGUAACCUACCUUAAGGACGAGGAUAACCUUUGGAAACGAAGGAUAAUACUGGAUAGGACAUUACAAAGCACAUGCUUAAAUGUUUAAAGGAGCAAUCCACCAUAAGAGGGGCCUGCGGCGCAUUAGCUAGUUGGUGAGAUAAAGGCCCACCAAGGCGAUGAUGCGUAGCUGGACUGAGAGGUUGAACAGCCACAAUGGGACUGAGAACGGCCCAUACUCCUACGGGAGGCAGCAGUAGGGAAUUUUCGGCAAUGGGCAAAAGCCUGACCGAGCCAAUGCCGCGUGAUCGAAGAAGUAUUUCGGUAUGUAAAGAUCUUUUAUCAGGGAAGAAAAAACAAAUUGACUGAACCUGAUGAAUAAGCUCCGGCUAACUACGUGCCAGCCGCCGC
This 456-nucleotide ribosomal RNA is filed under the name uncultured bacterium. Its description in RNAcentral is "bacterial SSU rRNA". It matches the Rfam family "Bacterial small subunit ribosomal RNA", at positions 44 to 518 of the family's 1533-position model. The record is from RNAcentral.